This 254-nucleotide ribosomal RNA is filed under the name uncultured bacterium. RNAcentral's name for it is "partial 16S ribosomal RNA". It matches the Rfam family "Bacterial small subunit ribosomal RNA", at positions 524 to 776 of the family's 1533-position model. The record is from RNAcentral.
UACGGGGGGAGCAAGCGUUGUUCGGAUUUACUGGGCGUAAAGGGCGCGUAGGCGGCCACCGCAAGUCAGUUGUGAAAUCUCUGGGCUUAACCCAGAACGGUCAGCUGAUACUGCGGGGCUAGAGUGCAGAAGGGGCAACUGGAAUUCUCGGUGUAGCGGUGAAAUGCGCAGAUAUCAGGAGGAACACCGGUGGCGAAGGCGGUUCUCUGGGCAUUACCUGACGCUGAGGAGCGAAAGCAUGGGGAGCGAACAGG